Myripristis murdjan (pinecone soldierfish) is the source of this 216-nucleotide small nucleolar RNA. Its record names the gene U3. It matches the Rfam family "Small nucleolar RNA U3". Rfam says of the family: Small nucleolar RNAs (snoRNAs) are involved in the processing and modification of rRNA in the nucleolus. Lineage: Eukaryota; Metazoa; Chordata; Actinopteri; Holocentriformes; Holocentridae. The record is from Ensembl.
AACACUAUACUUUCAGGGAUCACUUCUAUAGUUCCUGACUAGAGAAAUGUGUUUUUAAAGUGUUUGGUCUCGCUAGCCACGAUGAUGAGUUGUGAUGUUCCCUUCUGAGAGAGAAGCUGGCAGUGAAUAAUGAGUCUGUUCAUAUCUUCACUGUCACUGAUGACUGAUUUUUGCUUCCUUGGGGAGCAUUGAGGAGGGGAAUAUUAUCAUAGUGGU